RNAcentral lists this ribosomal RNA (497 nucleotides) under uncultured bacterium. RNAcentral's name for it is "partial 16S ribosomal RNA". It matches the Rfam family "Bacterial small subunit ribosomal RNA", at positions 28 to 507 of the family's 1533-position model. The record is from RNAcentral.
GAUGAACGCUGGCGGCGUGCCUAAUACAUGCAAGUCGAGCGAACAGACGAGGAGCUUGCUCCUCUGACGUUAGCGGCGGACGGGUGAGUAACACGUGGAUAACCUACCUAUAAGACUGGGAUAACUUCGGGAAACCGGAGCUAAUACCGGAUAAUAUAUUGAACCGCAUGGUUCAAUAGUGAAAGACGGUUUUGCUGUCACUUAUAGAUGGAUCCGCGCCGCAUUAGCUAGUUGGUAAGGUAACGGCUUACCAAGGCAACGAUGCGUAGCCGACCUGAGAGGGGGUGCGGCCACAUGGAAACGGAGCACGGGACAAGCCACCAAGGGGAGGCACAAGUGGGGAUUCUGCGGAAAGGGGAGAAACCCGGACGGAGAAACGCGGGGGGAGUGAGGAAGGUCUGAGGAUAGAAAAACUUUUUUAUAGGGGAAAAAAAAAGGUGAAAGAAAAUAUGCACGUCGGGAGGUAACCUAAUCAGAAAGCCAGGGCUAACUAGGUC